AAAAUAAUAAAUUUAUGAUUCAAGUCCAUACUAUGGAAAUCAAUAUAUUGCAUUGUUAAGUUAGACAAAAAGUCCCUAAAUACAUAUUAUCAAGGGUACAUGUAUGUCUAUAUAAAUGAAAACUUUCUGGCAUCAUUAAUUUCUAAAUUAAGAUUAUAUUUUACUAGCAAUAAAUCCACUUUUCAUCUUAGAUUUUAGAAAGACUUGUAUAUAAUUGCUUGACUAUACCAUCUAUUUAAAAAACCUCCCCAGGGAAUUUUAACUAAUGCUCUUUCCCCCUUUACAAAAUUUUCCUGCUGCCGUCAGAGGCAUUAAAAAUGAUUUGUUCAGUUUUAGCUGCACUUUUCAAAAAUAGGCAUUAGUUCCAUCUCCCUCUUCUAUUUUGCAACAGUUCCCAAGUUUUCCCCUGCAAGAAAUACCUACAGAACCAGAUGGAAAUUCAGAUUCUUGCAGCCUACCCUUCAGAUAUUCUGACUCGGUAGAUCUAGAGCAAGAUCCAGGAACUGGCAUUUAACUUUUAACCUGCAUCCCUCGGCCCUCCGUGAUCCAGAUGCAAGUGGUGCAAGGACCACACUUGGAGAACUCUGCUGAGGAAUGCUUUCUCUUAAACAAUGAACACUCUUUAUUUGCCAGGCACCAUGCUAGGUGCUAUGAAUACAACAGUGAAAAAAAGACAUGGUGAAAGUACAAUUUCAGAAAUUAUUUGUAUCCCUGGAACAAAGCAUGAACGAUGAUCUGUACACACACAGUAGACAUGCAAUAAAUAUCUGUCAAAUGAAUGAAUGCAUGAGUUCAGAAUUGAGUGAUGAAGCCAGACAAAUAAACAGGAAAAUACAAUAUGGUGUGAUUGACACUGUCGUAGAGAUAUACAUGGGGGAAAGGGAAGAAGGAAAUGAACCUUUACUGGGGAUCUACUCUGUGAUGGCUACUGUGUGCACUUUCUACUACCUCACACAGGAAGAGAGGCAGUUACCAGCGUGGGAGCAUCAGAGAAGGCUUCCAGAGGAGAGGCUGCAUGCAUUGACUCUCAUGGACAAGGAGGUAUGCAAUCUUCUGAACAACAGCUGUUAUACUUUGGAAAUGUUUGAUAAACCUGUCAUUACAAAGUUACCUAAUUGUUGAGGGCACAAGCUUCCAAGUCAGAAAGCUAUGGGUUCAAAUUUGAAUGCCUGACUUACUACUUACGUGACCUGAGAGCUUUAACUUUCCCAAGUCCAUUUCAUCACUGGAACUAUAGUACCUGCUGCACAGGGUAAGGAUUAAAUGAGAUAAUAUAUGUAAAGUACCUGGCACAUAGCAGGGACUCAAUAAAUGAUAUCUAUCAUUUUUUAAAAAAUAUUUU
Molecule: long non-coding RNA, 1342 nt
Filed under: Vulpes vulpes (red fox)
Lineage: Eukaryota; Metazoa; Chordata; Mammalia; Carnivora; Canidae
Description: lncRNA (ENSVVUG00000009788.1)
Source: RNAcentral